This 320-nucleotide ribosomal RNA is filed under the name uncultured Prevotella sp. Its description in RNAcentral is "partial 16S ribosomal RNA". Lineage: Bacteria; Pseudomonadati; Bacteroidota; Bacteroidia; Bacteroidales; Prevotellaceae. The record is from RNAcentral.
GGAGUUUGGUCCGUGUCUCAGUACCAAUGUGGGGGACCUUCCUCUCAGAACCCCUACCGAUCGAUGCCCCGGUGGGCCGUUACCCCGCCGGCAAGCUAAUCAGACGCAUCCCCAUCCUAUAGCGGUGAACCUUUGAUUCAAAUUAGAUGCCCGCUUUGAAUAACAUAGAGCAUUAAUCCGACUUUCGCCGGGCUAUUCUCUACUAUAGGGAAGGUUGGAUACGCGUUACUCACCCGUGCGCCGGUCGCCAUCAAAGUUUGCAAGCAAACUUCAUGCUGCCCCUCGACUUGCAUGUGUUAAGCCUGUAGCUAGCGUUCAUC